AUUCAUUAUGUGCCUUCUGUGCAUUUUCUCAUAGUCUAUACAUAGAUUUCUAUAGUUUAGCUGAUAUUGGUUCCUAUUUUGAAACAAUUUUUUAUCCAAGUUUUCUUGGAUUAAACCUUUGCCAUAUUUUUAGAAAUAAAGCUUUCUUGAAGAUUCUCUCUUUUUUUUAGAAAAAUAUGUAAUUUCAAAUCAAUUCGCAUAUUAAAGUUUCAUUUCAAAAGGCAUCUUUAGAUGCUUCUUCCAAUCUGUACAUGAUGAUCCUUAGCCUUGUCAAAACUUAUAUGAAGUCCUGUUUCUAGUGAUUGUCCAUCACAUUUACUUGUCAUGCUAUCAAAUUAUGCACCAGUUCUUUUCAUGGCCGUUCCUUAUUUUCGUUUUUCUUUUGCUCAUAUUCCAGUGCUUACGCCAAGUCACUGAGGCCAGAGAAGACAGACGGUUCCAGCUGCAUACGGUUUCUUUCGUGCAUCUAUAUUGGCUGCCCGGAAGAGUUAUCAGGGGCCGGUUGUCUUUCAGCAAGUGGUAGACAAGCACAAUUAUUUUAGUUAUUGGGGCAUACAUAUUAUACUGCUGUAGACUUUGGAAGUUCCUAUUUUUUCUAAAUUUGUUUCUUUUUAAUUUUGUUUUCCCAUUAUCCCCUCAGACUAUCUUGCGGCGUUGUGAAUUGUAGAUACAUAGUAGUGAUAGUAGAAUUUACCCAUCAUAUAUAGUAUGCAGAAUUUUGUACACUUAUAUAUGAAUUGAUAUCCUGACCACAUUAUUGUACA
Salvia hispanica is the source of this 764-nucleotide non-coding RNA. Lineage: Eukaryota; Viridiplantae; Streptophyta; Magnoliopsida; Lamiales; Lamiaceae. The record is from RefSeq and is a predicted model, not a curated record.